Molecule: long non-coding RNA, 669 nt
Filed under: Rattus norvegicus (Norway rat)
Lineage: Eukaryota; Metazoa; Chordata; Mammalia; Rodentia; Muridae
Description: long non-coding RNA NONRATT007378
Source: RNAcentral
CAGGAUGACCCCCACGCCGGCCUCCCCCAGCUGGGCAAGAGACUACCUCAGUUCGAUGAUGAUGCAGACACAGGAAAGAAAAAGAAGAAAACUCGAGGCGACCACUUCAAACUUCGCUUCCGCAAAAACUUCCAGGCUUUGCUGGAGGAGCAGGUGAGAGAGGGCUCAACCUGGGGGCGGGCAUCCUAGAGAGCAAAGGGGUGAGUGACCCCUGCUCUUCAAUGUCCCUGGUGGAUAUCAGCUGCAACACAAGAGUGCCUGUCCUUUCAUGUCCCUGCAGAACCUGAGUGCAUCUGAGGGCCCCAACUACUUGACAGCCUGUGCGGGUCCGCCAUCUCGGCCCCAGCGUCCCUUCUGUGCUGUGUGUGGCUUCCCAUCCCCGUAUACCUGUGUAAGCUGUGGUGCCCGGUAUUGCACGGUGCGCUGCCUGGGCACCCAUCAGGAGACCCGGUGUCUGAAGUGGACUGUGUAAACCUGGCAUCAGGGAGAAGUACCCCCAACUCUCCCCAACCCACCCCAGCUCAUCCACAAAGGACAGCGAGAAAGGAUCUACCCAUUCACCCAGCAAAGCUGUACCCUGCCGACCAAGGAGGGCCCCACGGACCCCAGGGACUGUUGUGGGGGUGAUCCAGCCCACAGAGUGCUGUGAUAAUAAAUGACGUGGUAAAA